GGCAUUCUGGAGCAUACCUAGCAAGAGAAGAGGCUCAGGACUGGCUGACUGGACUUGGAGGUCACAUGCAGAUAAUGCCAGCUCCUGAUCACCAGAACACUGGGCUGUCCCCGUCCUCGCGAACUCGGUAAUACUCGUGGCCUUCGGGUACAGCCUUGGCUAGGCCAAAGUCUCCAAUUUUGACCAGCCUGUCGUUGUCCAGAAGCACGUUGCGCGCGGCUAGGUCUCGGUGAAUGUAGUGCUGACCGUGCAGGGUGGCAGAGAAGAGAAAAGUGCGUGGUUUCCACGACUGGGCCUAGAUCCCACCCACCAGCACUACCCUAUAAGGCUCCUCCCCAGAGGGGUAGCCGUGUAACAUGACAGUUGUCGAAUGACAGUAUUGGUUAUCAGGACAAAGUCACACUGGAAGCCAAGAAGGCUGAUUUUCAAUUCAAGCAAUCCAUCUGCCUCAGCGUUCCCAGCAACUGGAACUACAGAUGUACAACAGUACUAGCAGACUGAGCUGUCUUGUCUCUGGAAGGUGAAUAAAAGAUGCAGAGAUGGUUGCUAUGGAAAGAUCUUCCAACCUGGUUCUGCAUGGUACUCUGGGUCAGCAGGACCUGAAUUAGACAGGAAUAACAACCACCCAAUAUGACACAAAGAGAAUCCACUGCGUGCGGAGAAGUUGACAGCCAUGCAGCAUGUGUCCUGCAUCUACUAUGUCCUGACCACCAAAAAGCAGUACUACAUUUUGGGGCCAGUGAGAUGGCUCAGCAGAGAUCUGCUGAAUAUGACAUUUAAAAUGUUUAAUGGGGAAGUUUCCUGUGAUGGGCAGAGGUGCCAGAGAUGCCUGGUCCUAGAAGAAUCCUGAGGUCUUCAAAGAAGGCGGAUUGGGCCCGGACAACUCCACCUGGAUGGUGGUAAAGCUAACUGCUAGGAAAAGCUGUCCCAUGCAUGCCACCAUGCUCUGUGGACAUGUGUUGAUUGUCCUAUUCUGCUUAAAGUGUCCUACACUGUCAAAGUGUGGCCAAUGGUCCCAUGUUCCUCCUCCAUGGGAAAACCUCUCAAACCUGAGUCUGGCCCAAAGCCUAUGCUGUUCUGUUCAGCAACUGAAGGUAUAAUCCUGCCCUUCCUAUGUGACAGCUGAAGACCUGUGCCCACUAUCCCCAACAAGGCCACUGAGAUCACUGGACCCUAGGACAACCAUCUAGGUGGUGGGUCUCUGUCAAUGUAAUCGAUACAGAAGCCAUUGGAUUGUAGCUUCCUGCUGUGAUUUACCCUUCUCAGAUCUCCGAUGGAUGGCGUUGAUAGCUAACUGCAGUGUCAGUUUACCAGCAGCUGCUUAAACUACUGCUUCAAUGGCCCAGUCAAUGCAUUUCACACAGAAAAACCAGACCUUACUUUUCUAGAGUGUCUAGGUCACCUGAUGAAAAAGGCAAACUCAGGUCCUGAGUUCAAUUCCCAGCAGCCACAUGAUGGAUCAUGGCCAUCUGUACAGCUACAGUGUACUCAUACACAUGAAAUAAAUCUUUAAAAAAAAAAAAGAAAAAGGCAAACUCACAGACGGGUUUACUUGACUCACACGGUUCAUAUUAAAGGAUAAACACGUUUCAGAUGUACCCUUUACUAACAGUUUAAAGGAAUUUGCUUUGCAAAGACUGUACUCAGUAAUCAACCACUUAUAUAUGUCUAAUAAUAAAUA
Mastomys coucha (southern multimammate mouse) is the source of this 1681-nucleotide long non-coding RNA. RefSeq lists it as uncharacterized. The transcript has 6 exons. The record is from RefSeq and is a predicted model, not a curated record. Lineage: Eukaryota; Metazoa; Chordata; Mammalia; Rodentia; Muridae.